GAGGGGUACAGAGAGUGCUUGCACUCUGCUGACGACCGGCGCACGGGUGCGUAACGCGUAUGCAACCUACCUUUUACAGAGGGAUACCCAAGAGAAAUUUUGAAUAAUACCUCAUAAGCUCUAUUCGUAUCAUUAUUUAUAGAGGAAAACUUCGGUGGUAAUUGAUGGGCAUGCGUCCUAUUAGUUUGUUGGUAAGGUAACGGCUUACCAAGACUACGAUAGGUAGGGGUCCUGAGAGGGAGAUCCCCCACACUGGUACUGAGACACGGACCAGACUUCCACGGAAGGCAGCAGUAAGGAAUAUUGGACAAUGGAGGAAACUCUGAUCCAGCCAUGCAGCGUGCAGGAAGAAUGCCCUAUGGGUUGUAAACUGCUUUUAUACAGGAAGAAACUUUUCCACGUGUGGAAAACUGACGGUACUGUACGAAUAAGGAUCGGCUAACUCCGUGCCAGCAGCCGCGGUAAUACGGAGGAUCCUAGCGUUAUCCGGAAUUAUUGGGUUUAAAGGGU
This 510-nucleotide ribosomal RNA is filed under the name uncultured marine bacterium. Its description in RNAcentral is "bacterial SSU rRNA". It matches the Rfam family "Bacterial small subunit ribosomal RNA", at positions 64 to 568 of the family's 1533-position model. The record is from RNAcentral.